AUUGAACGCUGGCGGCAGGCCUAACACAUGCAAGUCGAGCGGAGCGGCGGACGGGUGAGUAAUGCCUAGGAAUCUGCCUGGUAGUGGGGGAUAACGUCCGGAAACGGAAGCUAAUACCGCAUACUAUCAGAUGAGCCUCGGGCGGAUUAGCUAGUUGGUGGGGGAAAGGCCUACCCAGGCGACGAUCCAUAACUGGUCUGAGAGGAGGAUCAGUCACACUGGAACUGAGACACGGUCCAGACUCCUACGGGAGGCAGCAGUGGGGAAUAUUGGACAAUGGGCGAAAGCCUGAUCCAGCCAUGCCGCGUGUGUGAAGAAGGUCUUCGGGUUGUAAAGUACUUGAAGUUGGGAGGCGUUACCAACAGAAGAAGCACCGGCUAACUUCGUGCCAGCAGCCGCGGUAAUAC
Molecule: ribosomal RNA, 407 nt
Filed under: uncultured bacterium
Lineage: Bacteria
Description: partial 16S ribosomal RNA
Rfam family: Bacterial small subunit ribosomal RNA
Source: RNAcentral